RNAcentral lists this long non-coding RNA (654 nucleotides) under Apteryx rowi (Okarito brown kiwi). Its description in RNAcentral is "lncRNA (ENSARWG00000000802.1)". Lineage: Eukaryota; Metazoa; Chordata; Aves; Apterygiformes; Apterygidae. The record is from RNAcentral.
GGAGGGCGCCUUCCCAUUCGCUGCUGCGGGGGAGCAGGGCGGUGUGAUUGGGCGGAGGGAGUGGAGUGCUGAGGCAUUGUGCAGACUCCCCUGCCUGCUUCAGCCAUUCAGCUGAGGCCUGUCCUGCUAGUUCAAAUGGAGUGGGCAAGAGUGGUGAAGACCUUCGUCCCCAUUUCAGCACCCCCCAGGUUGCAGUCAGCUAUGACUUUGUCACAGCAUCAGAGAUUGAAAACAAAACGUCUGUCUAGCUGUGAAGGAUUUCAGACAGUGCAGAGCACAGCACCCACUAAUUGCACUGUUCCCUGGUCUUCACCCACAUCAGUCCAACAGAAUUACAUUUGGUGACACCCAAGCAAAAAGUCCAAACUCUUCUUGGAAGGGCAGUAAAAAGAAAAGGGACAAGAAGUAACAGUAAAAAAAUAGAGUAAAAAGUAUGGGGACACCAGCUUUUCCUUGUGUGAUAAUACGUUGUUCAUCUUAGCCAGUGCUAGCUUCCAAAAUGAAUGGUUUAAACAUUUGUAAUAUUCUUGAUACACUGCUUUACACCAGCCUUUUUGAGCUACCCCUAGCUCCCCUUCCUCAUCAGUGCUUUGUAGCAUUCUUUCUGUGGAACACAACCUGCAUAAAACAAACAUAGCAGAUGUUCUAAUAAAG